AUAAUGGAGGAUCUUGGCCAGUGCUUUUAUGGCUGCUAACUGCUGCAUGCAUCAAAACUGGACGACCGCAAAUUGCAAGACGUGCAAUUGAUCUUGCUGAGACCCGUCUGCUGAAAGAUAGCUGGCCUGAAUAUUACGAUGGGAAACUUGGGAAAUUUAUCGGUAAACAGGCAAGGAAAUACCAGACGUGGUCGAUUGCUGGGUACUUGGUGGCAAAGAUGAUGCUGGAGGAUCCUUCACAUUUGGGAAUGAUUUCCCUGGAAGAGGACAAACAAAUGAAGCCAGUGAUUAAGAGAUCUUCUUCUUGGACUUGCUGAUGAAGAGAGGCAAACAAACAAGCAAGCAAGCAGGAUAAGUAGCAGAAAAAAUAGUAGGAAAAGAAAACGUAAAGUGAGAAAUGUUUGGUUUCGUUAUACAGCAUUAUUCUUUGCCGUUUGUUGUUGUAGGUCUGAUUUGAAAGUGUGGUUGUGUACAAUAGCUUCUGCUAAGAACUACUGUCUUGCUUUUCAAAUAAGAGAAACAUCUGAAUGGCAAUUUGGAAAUGCCAUCCUUAGUUUAUGUUAGCUUUUGACAGCAAAAAUGGAAUAAGAUUUAUCUUCAUCGCCGAGGG
This 610-nucleotide unclassified non-coding RNA is filed under the name Hevea brasiliensis (rubber tree). The record is from RNAcentral. Lineage: Eukaryota; Viridiplantae; Streptophyta; Magnoliopsida; Malpighiales; Euphorbiaceae.